GCCUCAGUACCGGCGAGUGAAGCGGCAACAGCUCAAAUUUGAAACCUGGCCUUCUGGUCCGGAUUGUAAUUUGUAGAGGACGCUUUUGGUGCGGUACCUUCCGAGUUCCCUGGAACGGGACGCCUUAGAGGGUGAGAGCCCCGUACGGUUGGAUACCUAGCCUCUGUAUAGCUCCUUCGACGAGUCGAGUAGUUUGGGAAUGCUGCUCUAAAUGGGAGGUAAAUUUCUUCUAAAGCUAAAUACCGGCCAGAGACCGAUAGCGCACAAGUAGAGUGAUCGAAAGAUGAAAAGCACUUUGAAAAGAGGGUUAAAUAGCACGUGAAAUUGUUGAAAGGGAAGCGCUUAUGACCAGACCUUUUCUUAACGGAUCAUCCGGUGUUCUCACCGGUGCACUUCGUUAGGUUUAGGCCAGCGUCGAUUUUCGGAGGGGGAUAAAGGCUUCGGGAAUGUGACUCUCUUCGGGGAGUGUUAUAGCCCGUUGUGUAAUACCCCUCUGGGGAUCGAGGUUCGCGCUCUGCAAGGACGCUGGCAUAAUGGUCAUCAGUGACCCGUCUUGAAACACGGACCAAGGAGUCGAACAUUUGUGCGAGUGUUUGGGUGUUAAACCCUCACGCGUAAUGAAAGUGAACGGAGGUGAGAGCCCUUACGGGGUGCAUCAUCGACCGAUCCUGAUGUCUUCGGAUGGAUUUGAGUAAGAGCAUAACUGUUCGGACCCGAAAGAUGGUGAACUAUGCGUGGAUAGGGUGAAGCCAGAGGAAACUCUGGUGGAGGCUCGCAGCGGUUCUGACGUGCAAAUCGAUCGUCAAAUCUGCGCAUGGGGGC
Molecule: ribosomal RNA, 822 nt
Filed under: Gyrothrix sp.
Lineage: Eukaryota; Fungi; Ascomycota; Sordariomycetes; Xylariales; Gyrothricaceae
Description: partial large subunit ribosomal RNA
Rfam family: Eukaryotic large subunit ribosomal RNA
Source: RNAcentral